GUUACUGUGUCACUAUACCCCACUCCCUCUAACAUGUAAACUCACUGAGCAGGCCCUCAAUCCCUCUGUUACUGUGUCACUAUACCCCACUCCCUCUAACAUGUAAAUUCACUGAGCAGGGCCCUCAAUCCCUCUGUUACUGUGUCACUAUACCCCACUCCCUCUAACAUGUAAACUCACUGAGCAGGGCCCUCAAUCCCUCUGUUACUGUGUCACUAUACCCCACUCCCUCUAACAUGUAAGCUCACUGAGCAGGGCCCUCAAUCCCUCUGUUACUGUGUCACUAUACCCCACUCCCUCUAACAUGUAAGCUCACUGAGCAGGGCCCUCAAUCCCUCUGUUACUGUGUCACUAUACCC
This is a non-coding RNA of Pelobates cultripes (western spadefoot toad), 359 nucleotides long. The record is from the annotation of a GenBank genome assembly. NCBI's taxonomy places the organism in Eukaryota, Metazoa, Chordata, Amphibia, Anura, Pelobatidae.